RNAcentral lists this transfer RNA (72 nucleotides) under Cyanobacteria bacterium SZAS-4. RNAcentral's name for it is "tRNA-Ile". It matches the Rfam family "tRNA". Rfam says of the family: Transfer RNA (tRNA) molecules are approximately 80 nucleotides in length. Their secondary structure includes four short double-helical elements and three loops (D, anti-codon, and T loops). The record is from RNAcentral. Lineage: Bacteria; Bacillati; Cyanobacteriota.
GCACGAAUAGCACAAUGGUUGUGCAAACGCAUGAUAAGCGUUCGGCUCUAGGUUCGAGUCCUAGUUCGUGCA